This is a long non-coding RNA of Rosa chinensis, 465 nucleotides long. RefSeq lists it as uncharacterized. The record is from RefSeq and is a predicted model, not a curated record. The transcript has 2 exons. NCBI's taxonomy places the organism in Eukaryota, Viridiplantae, Streptophyta, Magnoliopsida, Rosales, Rosaceae.
AGAGAGAGACAGAGAGACAGAGAGAUGAAGGGUAUUAAGAGAUCUUUGAUGGUAGGUGCAGUGGUGAUUCUCUUGCUUGCAGCAGCAGAAGGGGACCAAACAAAGACGUCUCCUUACAAAGAUUGCUAUGGAAAAUGCUAUUCCGAGUGCAAUCUCACAAAGCCUCUUUUCUGUGCCUCACUUUGUGUUGGCAAAUGCAAGCAUGGAAAGUCCAUCCCAGAUAAUCUCUGCAACUGUACUUACAGUUGCUCCAAGUUUAGGUGUGCAAAUGUGGGCUCUGAUCCAGAGAAAAUACAAAGCUGUGUGAGUAGCUGCUCCAAUUUGUGCACCAGAAGUAACUAUUAGCAUUUGUACUUGGCCAAACAGCCACUUUAUGUAAUGCUGGCCAUUGAAAUAAAAAAGCUAGGCAUCAUGAAAUUGAUGUUCUGUUUCUAUAAUGAAAUAAAAUGCUAGUUUUCAGUUCUA